This 69-nucleotide transfer RNA is filed under the name Aphyosemion kouamense. RNAcentral describes it as "tRNA-Gly". The record is from RNAcentral. Lineage: Eukaryota; Metazoa; Chordata; Actinopteri; Cyprinodontiformes; Nothobranchiidae.
AUCUUUCUAGUAUAUACAGUACUAGUGACUUCCAAUUACUUAGGCCUGGUUAAAGCCCAGGGAAAGAUA